Molecule: long non-coding RNA, 228 nt
Organism: Populus trichocarpa (black cottonwood)
Lineage: Eukaryota; Viridiplantae; Streptophyta; Magnoliopsida; Malpighiales; Salicaceae
Exons: 2
Source: RefSeq, a predicted model, not a curated record
AACAGGAAGUUCCAACAUACAACUCUAAAUUUCUAUCUUUUGGGAUAAAUCGAUAUAUGGUCACAAAGAGUAUCUCUCUCUCUCUCUCUCUCUCUCUCAGCUCUAGACCAGAGGAUCCGUCCAUUACAGCUAGCAGCAAAGGUCGAGCUUGCUAGUUUCAAACAAGUACUCCCUUGAUUUGUUGUGAAUAUUUAACUUAUUUAACUGGUUUGUUUUUCCAUGUCUUAA